GGUAAAGCCCAACAUAAGGAGGCAAGCUAUACCCUAGAAGAAGCAAGAAACUAAUCGUCUUGGCAACAAAACAAAGAGAAGAAAAGCACACAAUCAUAACCUCAUAUCCAAAUAUGAAUAUAACGGGAAGCAAUAAUCACUAUUCCUUAAUAUCUCUCAACAUCAAUGGUCUCAACUCCCCAAUAAAAAGGCACAGAUUAACAAACUGGAUACGCAGUGAGGACCCUGCAUUCUGCUACCUACAGGAAACACACCUCAGAGACAAAGACAGACAUUACCUCAGAGUGAAAGGCUGGAAAACAACUUUCCAAGCAAAUGGUUAGAAGAAGCAAGCUGGAGUAGCCAUUCUAAUAUCAAAUAAAAUCAAUUUUCAACUAAAAGUCAUCAAAAAGAUAAGGAAGGACACUUCAUAUUCAUCAAAGGAAAAAUCCACCAAGAUGAACUCUCAAUCCUAAAUAUCUAUGCCCCAAAUACAAGGGCACCUACAUACGUAAAAGAAACCUUACUAAAGCUCAAAACACACAUUGCACUUCACACAAUAAUAGUAGGAGAUUUCAACACCCCACUCUCAUCAAUGGACAGAUCAUGGAAACAGAAAUUAAACAGAG
This 608-nucleotide long non-coding RNA is filed under the name Rattus norvegicus (Norway rat). RNAcentral's name for it is "long non-coding RNA NONRATT027470". The record is from RNAcentral. Lineage: Eukaryota; Metazoa; Chordata; Mammalia; Rodentia; Muridae.